Molecule: ribosomal RNA, 386 nt
Filed under: uncultured microorganism
Description: bacterial SSU rRNA
Rfam family: Archaeal small subunit ribosomal RNA
Source: RNAcentral
GCGCAGCAGUCGCGAAAACUCCGCAAUGCUCGAAAGAGUGACGGGGGGAUUCCAAGUGCCUACGCUUAGCGUAGGCUGUUCAGAUGCCUAAAAAGCAUCUGGAGUAAGGGCUGGGUAAGACGGGUGCCAUCUGCAGUGGUAAUGAAAAACUUGCUACUGCAAGGCAUAAGCCGCCGCGGUAAUACCCGCAGCCCGAGUGGUAGUUGCUUUUAUUGGGCCUAAAGCGUCCGUAGCCGGUCUGGUAAAUGCCUGGGUAAAUCGUGGGGCCUAACCUCACGAAUUCCGGGUAGACUGCCAGACUUGGGACCGGUUGAGGGAGAGGGUACUCCAGGGGUAGGGUGAAAUCCUGUAAUCUUGGAGGACCACCGGCGGCGAAAGCGCUCUCC